RNAcentral lists this unclassified non-coding RNA (317 nucleotides) under Hevea brasiliensis (rubber tree). Lineage: Eukaryota; Viridiplantae; Streptophyta; Magnoliopsida; Malpighiales; Euphorbiaceae. The record is from RNAcentral.
GGAAGAGGUGUGUUUGAAUGAUGGUGAUGUGUUUGAGAAGUUGCUUCCGAAUUCUGUUAAUUGGAGAGAUAAUGAGCCACCGGAGUUGUCUAGAGUGUUUGAACCGAAUUCUAGGAUGUAUACGACUUUAAUGAAAGGUUAUAUGAAUGCUGGUCGUGUUACAGAUAUGGUGAGGAUGUUAGAGGCAAUGAGACAUCUAGGAGAUAGUGAGAGCCAUCCAGACCAUGUCACUUACACGACAGUUAUUUCUGCGUUUGUGAAGCAAGGUUUAAUGGAUAGGGCACGAGAGGUGCUGGCCGAGAUGGUCAGGAUUGGUG